Molecule: transfer RNA, 73 nt
Filed under: Alosa alosa (allis shad)
Lineage: Eukaryota; Metazoa; Chordata; Actinopteri; Clupeiformes; Clupeidae
Description: tRNA-OTHER
Source: RNAcentral
GCAGCCGUGGCCUACUGGGUAGAGCUUCAGACUUAUAAUCUGAGGGUUGCCGGUUUGAACCCCACCAGUAGGA